CAAAACUUUCAACAACGGAUCUCUUGGUUCUGGCAUCGAUGAAGAACGCAGCGAAAUGCGAUAAGUAAUGUGAAUUGCAGAAUUCAGUGAAUCAUCGAAUCUUUGAACGCACAUUGCGCCCUCUGGUAUUCCAGAGGGCAUGCCUGUUCGAGCGUCAUU
Molecule: ribosomal RNA, 159 nt
Filed under: Cytospora chrysosperma
Lineage: Eukaryota; Fungi; Ascomycota; Sordariomycetes; Diaporthales; Cytosporaceae
Description: Valsa sordida 5.8S ribosomal RNA
Rfam family: 5.8S ribosomal RNA
About the family: 5.8S ribosomal RNA (5.8S rRNA) is a component of the large subunit of the eukaryotic ribosome. It is transcribed by RNA polymerase I as part of the 45S precursor that also contains 18S and 28S rRNA.
Source: RNAcentral